CUAAAUGCGGAAGAGAUAAGUGCUGAAAGCAUCUAAGCACGAAACUUGCCCCGAGAUGAGUUCUCCCUGAGACUUUAGGUCUCCUGAAGGAACGUUGAAGACGACGACGUUGAUAGGCCGGGUGUGUAAGCGCAGCGAUGCGUUGAGCUAACCGGUACUAAUGAACCGUGAGGCUUAACCUUACAACGCCGAAG
This 194-nucleotide ribosomal RNA is filed under the name Salmonella enterica. Its description in RNAcentral is "partial 23S ribosomal RNA". It matches the Rfam family "Bacterial large subunit ribosomal RNA", at positions 2749 to 2925 of the family's 2925-position model. Lineage: Bacteria; Pseudomonadati; Pseudomonadota; Gammaproteobacteria; Enterobacterales; Enterobacteriaceae. RNAcentral also lists the same sequence under 3 other names. The record is from RNAcentral.